UUCAGAGGGUGCGAGCGUUGUCCGGAAUCACUGGGCGUAAAGGGCGCGUAGGCGGCUCCUUAGGCGGGUGGUGAAAGCGCGGGGCUCAACCCCGCGUCGGCCAUGCGAACUGGGGAGCUGGAGCACGUCAGAGGCAGGCGGAAUUCCGGGUGUAGCGGUGGAAUGCGUAGAGAUCCGGAAGAACACCGGUGGCGAAGGCGGCCUGCUGGGACGUGGCUGACGCUGAGGCGCGACAGCGUGGGGAGCAAACAGG
Molecule: ribosomal RNA, 253 nt
Filed under: uncultured bacterium
Lineage: Bacteria
Description: partial 16S ribosomal RNA
Rfam family: Bacterial small subunit ribosomal RNA
Source: RNAcentral